This 292-nucleotide ribosomal RNA is filed under the name uncultured bacterium. RNAcentral's name for it is "partial 16S ribosomal RNA". It matches the Rfam family "Bacterial small subunit ribosomal RNA", at positions 505 to 796 of the family's 1533-position model. The record is from RNAcentral.
GUGUCAGCCGCCGCGGUAAUACGGGGGGGGCAAGCGUUGUUCGGAAUUACUGGGCGUAAAGGGCUCGUAGGUGGCCAACUAAGUCAGACGUGAAAUCCCCAGGCUCAACUUGGGAACUGCGUCUGAUACUGGAUGGCUUGAAUUCGGGAGAGGGAUGCAGAAUUCCAGGUGUAGCGGUGAAAUGCGUAGAUAUCUGGAGGAAUACCGGUGGCGAAGGCGGCAUCCUGGACCGAUAUUGACACUGAGGAGCGAAAGCCAGGGGAGCAAACGGGAUUAGAUACCCUAGUAGUCC